GAGCUUGAGCCGCAAAGAGAGCUAUCCGUGAACAGUAUGCUGUGUGUGCGAAAAUUCACUGUCAUGGAGCUGCUCUCUUUAUGGACAGGUUC
Daphnia pulex (common water flea) is the source of this 92-nucleotide non-coding RNA. Lineage: Eukaryota; Metazoa; Arthropoda; Branchiopoda; Diplostraca; Daphniidae. The record is from Rfam.